GAUGAACGCUGGCGGCGUGCCUAAUACAUGCAAGUCGAGCGAACGGACGAGAAGCUUGCUUCUCUGAUGUUAGCGGCGGACGGGUGAGUAACACGUGGAUAACCUACCUAUAAGACUGGGAUAACUUCGGGAAACCGGAGCUAAUACCGGAUAAUAUUUUGAACCGCAUGGUUCAAAAGUGAAAGACGGUCUUGCUGUCACUUAUAGAUGGAUCCGCGCUGCAUUAGCUAGUUGGUAAGGUAACGGCUUACCAAGGCAACGAUGCAUAGCCGACCUGAGAGGGUGAAUGGCCACACUGGAACUGAGACACGGUCCAGACUCCUACGGGAGGCAGCAGUAGGGAAUCUUCCGCAAUGGGCGAAAGCCUGACGGAGCAACGCCGCGUGAGUGAUGAAGGUCUUCGGAUCGUAAAACUCUGUUAUUAGGGAAGAACAUAUGUGUAAGUAACUGUGCACAUCUUGACGGUACCUAAUCAGAAAGCCACGGCUAACUACGUG
RNAcentral lists this ribosomal RNA (497 nucleotides) under uncultured bacterium. RNAcentral describes it as "partial 16S ribosomal RNA". It matches the Rfam family "Bacterial small subunit ribosomal RNA", at positions 28 to 507 of the family's 1533-position model. The record is from RNAcentral.